AAACCAACAGGGAUUGCCCUAGUAACGGCGAGUGAAGCGGCAACAGCUCAAAUUUGAAAUCUGGCCUUCGGGUCCGAGUUGUACUUUGUAGAGGAUGCUUUGGGUGCGGUGCCUUCCGAGUUCCUUGGAACAGGACGCCUUAGAGGGUGAGAGCCCCGUACGGUUGGACACUAAGCCUAUGUAAAGCUCCUUCGACGAGUCGAGUAGUUUGGGAAUGCUGCUCUAAAUGGGAGGUAAAUUUCUUCUAAAGCUAAAUACCGGCCAGAGACCGAUAGCGCACAAGUAGAGUGAUCGAAAGAUGAAAAGUACUUUGAAAAGAGGGUUAAAUAGCACGUGAAAUUGUUGAAAGGGAAGCGUUUAUGACCAGACCUUUGCCUGGCGGAUCAUCCGGUGUUCUUCACCGGUGCACUUCGCCUGGCUUAGGCCAGCAUCGAUUUCUGCAGGGGGAUAAAGACCAUGGGAACGUAGCUCUCUUCGGAGAGUGUUAUAGCCCUAGGUGUAAUACCUCUGCGGGGAUCGAGGUUCGCGCUUCUGCAAGGAUGCUGGCGUAAUGGUCAUCAACGACC
This 566-nucleotide ribosomal RNA is filed under the name Cryptosphaeria sp. LSPQ-NSM-018. Its description in RNAcentral is "LSU rRNA". It matches the Rfam family "Eukaryotic large subunit ribosomal RNA", at positions 62 to 649 of the family's 3401-position model. The record is from RNAcentral. Lineage: Eukaryota; Fungi; Ascomycota; Sordariomycetes; Xylariales; Diatrypaceae.